AUAGCAGAAACAACAAACAGCGCAUGAGACCCACUCGCUUGCUACUCGAUCACCAGUCUUUGAGAAUCGGCCGGAAAUUCACAUGCACUUCUCUCUAGGGUGGUGGUGAGAUGAGAUAAUAACUGGAAGAGGUGAUUCAAACAAAACAGCCUCCUUUUCUAAGGAGACCCAGAAAACAAAAUUCUAGAACAAACCUCAAAAAGCCAAUUUCAGAAUAAGCCAAGAGGCUCUAAUACCAUGUAACAAGACAAGGAACAAUUAGGCAACAUUGAGUAUUUUCUCUAUUGAUGUAAGUGUGUUUAUAUACAGAUUACAAGAUCUUGUUAAAACAACUCCUAAGAAUCCUUUAUCAAUCAAUUAGUAUCAAUAUAAUCUCCUUUAAUUAUGUGCAAAUUAUGUUCACACUCUAACACCAGUAUUGUCUUGAUUAAAUAAUAACAAAGAACAAAACUCAAAAGCUUAAAGUACUAAGUACUAACCAUACUCAAUCGAAUAGUACUUCUGAAAAGCCAAAAUUUAUGCUGUCAAAAGGUACUAAAAAAGGCCAACCAAUCCCCAGAAAGACAAUAAAAGUAUCAAUAGAUGAUCUUCUUAAAAUUCUAUAUAAGGAGCAUUCUUUUAAAGAGAAGAGCAGGACUUAAUUAGCCAAGAAGUAUUCUCUUUAGCAUUAAAUUCUUUUUCUAAAAUCAUUGUAGUUUACUUAUUUUCAUUUCCAAUAGGAUAGAUACAACAAGUCUAUUUGAGGAUAUUUAUAAAUUAUUCAAUUCAAUACAAUACAUUGACAAUUUCAGUUUAUAGUUGAAUCUUGUAAAUUACUUCCUGACCUUUUCAUAUGUAUAGCCUUCCUAGGUACUUCCGGUGUUUCAAAUAUUCCUUGCAAUAUCAAUGACAGUAAGAGACAAACACACACUCGUUUAAUUGUAGCUGAAAGCUCAUAACCUCAAAAUUUAUAAACAACCGUUUUGUAGAAGGAAAAGGCAGCAAUACAUAGAACCCACUUCACUAUGACAACCUUAAUUUCACUUAAAUUAAAAAAUUAAGAUGAUAGAAUUCUUAUUAUAUAAAAAUAGAACAUUUUCUCCAACAUUUUGUAUCUUUGAGGCUACAAAUAUCUCAAUCAUUCUAGAUUAUUUCACUCCCUUAAUGCAUCACCGUAGCCUGUUCAACUCCAUCCUUAAACUCUUUUUUUUUUGUUUGUUUAAAAAGAAAGAAAAAUAAUAUAUCCUGAAAAUUGAUUAUGGGAAGCAAGGGUAUUAAUGUAGGUUGAGGCUUUUUAAGUUGCAACAAAUGCACAAUACUACUGUACAAAUUCAAUCAAAUUAAACCAAAAAUUUGCAGUUACAAAUAUAUAAAACAAAGAUUGGCUUAAAAUAAUAGCAAACUAAAAGUAAGUUUAAUUUGCAUAUAUCCUCACCGCCCACCAAAAAAGUAAAUAAGAGUGCCAAAGAUACACAUUACUUCUAUGUUUUAAAAGGAAAAAAAAAAAAAAGACACUACAGUGUUCUCCUGAAGUUUCUGUCUGUCUAUCGUUGCUGUUGUUGUUAUUGUUAUAUUAUUAUUAUCAUUUUUGGUGUGUAUCCCUUUUCUUCAAAAUUUACUUGUGUUAGUUUCAUUUUUGUUUUGUAUUAUUUUAUUACUCUUUCCCACUAGAUAUUUUUACAAGCAUAUCAUUAUAUAGAUUCUCUCAUCCUGUAUAUUUAUUAGAGAGAAUUUUUUCUGUGUUCUAUUUUCCCCACCGAUUGAAUUUAUUGACUUAAAAUGUUGCAUUCAACCUUUUACCAUCUUGGGUAAUGAGAGUAUUUAAAAAGUGUGCAUAAGUGUUGCCAGCAUUCUCUUCGCACUUUUGCCAAACUUGAUACAAACAGGAUGACAACAGUGACUAAGCCACAAAUAAAUCUUUAGAAAAAUAGAAUUCAAUCCACAAGUUAUUGAUAAAAUUCUAAACACUUUAUUCCAUAGAUGCCCAUCUGCCAGAAAUUAGGGUCGGAUUGGACAUAAUCCAGUAUCAAGCUACUAAUCCAUAAACAUACAUAUGUGGUGUUUAUACCAUGCCAAAACUCAAGUGAUAGUAAACUUUCUAAACAUAAAGAAGAAGAGCUAAGUCUCAAGAUUUCCAACAGUAGUAGGCCAUUCUAGUCCCCAAUUUAAGACAUUCAAUGAACUGGCAAAGGAAAACAGAGAUGGAGAUGUAGAGAAGAAACAGUUCCAUUUGGCUAAGGAACAAAUGUUGAAGUUCCUAUAGCAUAAAGACUAGGGUUCAAGCUUCUAGUCUAAAUAAUAAACUUUACCAGAAAAAUACCACUUGGCUAGCACAAAACAAAUACUAAAUUAACAGUCUACUGCAGGAGGAUUCUUCUUAAUUAUGUAACCAGUUUCAUCAAGACUAUUAACAUGCUUUCAAUACUAUCCGCUGCUUAUUAGCCAAAGUACAAAUGAAAAUUUUCAUCAGUCUAUUUAUCACUUGACUAUUCAUUAAAAUUACCUAACCAGUUGGUUAAAUGGAAGAAAUCUUAAGAUAUAAACCUUAUCGGAAUUCAGCUAUUGACUAAAAGGUUUAGAUUCUCUUGUUCUAUCCAUAUCCUCAGGGAGGAAAUCAUGUGUACACAGAAGCAAAUGGCUGGGAGUUUGGCUUAAUAAUUCUGCAUUGCAUUUGGAUGCAGGAAGUCAGAGACCCUCCAAAUAGGGUAUGGGAGAAUGUCCACUAUUUCAAAUUGUUUCUUUACAAGUAUGGUUAGGUGUUGCAGUUAGCUGGCCAUUUGGCCCAUUUGUAACCAAAAAAUUUUAAAAAAUAAAAAGUAAUUUUUCCUUUUCUUUUUCAGUUUUAUUGGGAAAAAAAAAAUUGAAUACAACCAANNNNNNNNNNNNNNNNNNNNNNNNNNNNNNNNNNAAAAAAAAAGGAGUCAGAGACAAGCCUCCAUCAAAGAGCCUUGAAGUCUUUUCUACACCAACCCCAACUCUUUUACCAAAUUUGAAAAGGAGAAUCAGAUCAAAGCUUCAGAUCAACCCAAUAUGAUAGCAAACAAAAUGAUGGUUAAAAUAUCGCAUAAGAAAUUUCAAAUUUAAUUAUGCAGAAACACAAUAAGCAGCCCAUCUACCCAUGUUAAAUCUUAUUAGAACUUCACACCUUCAUCUUUUUUCUCUUUGUAUUUAUUCGUUUAUUCUGAGCUUAUCCUUCUACUUGAUGACAUCAAAGAUAAAUUUCCAAAAAAAAAAAAAGAGAGGGAUCAACAUCACAGUACGCAGCAGAUACCAACAAAAUCAGCUAAGUGGCCAUUGAUAAUUGAAAUACGCUUGAAGAACUUCUAACCCAAGUUGAGAAAAACAACAAUGAUACUAGUGAAACAAAGUAGAAACAAAUGUAGUGAGAAGAAAAGAAUCAAAUACCUGAUAUGUCCUCUUCAAUGGCUCUUCAACUGCCAUCACAUUUCAAAAAAGCAAACAAAAUAAAAUUGGAAAUUCAGGCAAUGAUUAUGAAGAAAAAGAUAUGAAAACAUACAAAAUACAUAAAAUUAAGUGGAGAUCAACCUUGAUCCAUUAGUGCUUUGAACUGAUUGAUUGCUUCAUCUGGAACAAUACCCAUUUCUCCUUCCUCUCUCUCUCUCUCUCUCUCUCUUCUCUAGCACCAAAGUAGGGAAGAGAAAUGCAGGAGAUGCAAAUUUGGGGACCCUUUCAGCUUCUCUUGGUUGACUCUCUUUUAACUAGUGGCAUCCAAAAUCUAACAGUGGAUUUAGAGAAAAAUGAUAGAUAUUAAACACCAAAAGAGAAUGGUUCCAUGGAAGUUCUGAUAUUAAGACAACAGGAACAAAGGCAAAUCAUUCAGAUUUUUGGGUCAAGAAAGGCGGGUCUACCAACAAAUUCCAUAGUCCCACCUCUAAAUUAUUUAAAAAAAAAAAAAAAAAAGUUAAGCUUUUCUAAAAGAAACUCUCUCUCUCUCUCUUUCCCUCUCGGUGUGUGGCAUUGUGUGCCACAUUUUACAUGGAAAGCAAGAAACACUGCACCACACAACACAUCCUAUGAAGUUAAGACAUAUAAUUAAAGCUUUUUGUUUUGUAGUGCUUCUCUUUUUCAUUUUCUUGUUUUAAUUAUUAAAUUCUCGUAAAAGAAAGUAGAAAGAAAAAUAAAAAGAAAAAAAAUCUAGGAAGGAAAACUGUCAUUCAACAUCACUUUUGAUUAGCGGGAGAAAUUUAAGUUUAUGUUUUUCGCUAUUGGCUGUUUUAGUUCGUUUGCGAAAUAUUAUAAAAAAAAAUUUCUUGACAAUUUACUAUUUUAAUUAAAUCACUAUUUAUAAAAUCAUUAUCAAAUAAAAUCUAAAAUUUAUAUAUUAUAAACAAGUCCAACUCAUCUCUAAUUCGAUUAUUAUUUUAUAAAUAAUAUUUAAAUUUAUUCUAAAUAUAAUUAUUAUUAUUUACAUGAAAUUUUAAAAUAUUAAAUUUUUUUAAAAAAUAUUUAAAUUCUAAUUUUUUUUAAAAAAAAUAUUUUUAAAAAAAAAAUAUAUUAAAUAAUUAUAAAUAAUAUUAUCAUAAAAUAUAUAUUUAAUAUUAAACUAAUCAUUUAUAAAAACAGUUUUAAGUAUGAAAUGAGAAUUGAAAAUUGGAGGAGUAAAAUCUGAGAUCUCUCAUAUUUACUUAAAUACAGUUAUCAUACCAGAUUAAAUCUGUGAGUGCCAUGAAUAUUAAUUUUUAAAUUUGAAUUUGUCUGAAUAUAUAUUAUUUAAAUAUAUUAUAUACUAUUAAUUUCAUCCUAAAUUUAAAUAUAUUUUAAAAUUCGAUUGAAUUAAAUAAGUAAAAAAUACUAGACAGCAACACUUGUUCUAUUGCCAUCCCAAUGUGUGUGGUGGUCCUACCGUUGCAGUUUUUACCACUCAACUACCUUAUUUAAGUCACCUAAUUUAUCAUUUCAAAUUUAUUUUUUCAAUUAAUUCUUCACUUAACUCUUAUAAUUAAGUCCACCUUUUACCAUAUUUAUGUUGCAAAAUUUAUGAGUAAACAAAAUGUAUCUCUUUGUUUUUGGUAUAAAGAUUGAGUCAUAAUCAUCCAAAUUCACUUCCCAAAUAAAUUAGUUCUCCUAUAGUAUCAAAAGCUUAUAAUGCAAUUUUUAUGCAACCUAAUGAAAUUUAAGAAAUUUAAGGCACUAUAUAUCAAGAAUUUUUUUAAAAUAAAAAAAGUUUAAUUAUUUAUGAAAUUUCUACUUUCUUUAAUCUAAAAUAUUUCAUCAAAUUUAAAUACAAUAUGUGUUUUCAAAACUCUCAUUUUAAACGUUUUUCUCUAUCUAGUAUGACUUAUUUUAAUGAUUAAGCGGAAUUCAACUCACCAAACAUAUAUCACUUUUAAAUUCUUCGAUCUCAUUUCUGAAUUUGUACAUAUUAAAGUGUAUAAUGAUAAAAAAAUAAUAAUUGAUGUAACUGGAAAAUAAAACUGUGCUGUGAUUGGUUAAGUGACAUGAUUGGCGUCUACGACAGCCACUUUGAUGCUCAAGUUAGUAAACUGGAGAAUAGGGCGAGUAUAAGGAAUUGCUUAGAACUUAAGUGUAACUGUAUAAAAAUUGCAUACCUUUGUCUCUGAAAUCGUUGACUUUUAUACUGUAAAACGACAGAGUUAAAUAUAGCAUUUCCUGAUAAUCUAGCGAUGAUGUGACCAGCUAUUUGAUAAGAGAUCUCAUCGAUUUAACUGGUUGGUGAUCUCGUUAUUAUAGGAGUAAUGGAAAUCUACUAGAUCUUGCUUGCUAACGAUAACUUCAUGUGAAGGCUCGACCUCUUCAGGGAAGGGCGAGUCUUGAUAAUGGACUGGGUAUAACAGUGUCUGGAUCUUCUUUUCCUUGGGCGGGACCGCGCAUUCGCUUAUCAGAUCCUUAUCACAUGAUCCUAUUUUGUGGUGACAACUCAUGACUCACUUUGAACGAUUCUUGUGUAACAUUAGAGGUCCCCCUACUGGUCUUUGAUUUUUCAGAUUCGAAGGGGACAAUUGUUCUCACGAUUUAGGGCACGUGGCCCAUUGAAAUUGGCCUAUCCUUGCACACGCCGUUUUGCCUACCUAGUUCUUCAAUGAUAGUUGCCCCAUUUCUCAAGUUGCAUUUAAAGUCUGCCAUCAAAAUAGUCUUAUAAGAGCCGCCAAAUAUCACUUUUUUCACAACUAUAAUCUUUGCUUUUGAAAAGACUUGGUCACUCCUUCUUUCUCAUUUAUACUCCUUUGCUUUCAUGAUAAUUUCUGUUUUCCACUUCCUUUUAAGAUGUUACUUCGAGCUCCUCCUCUGACUGCUCCAUCCGCGCCUCAGCUCUUAUCGUUCUACUGAAUGCAGUUCAUAAAAGUGAAGGCAGUCUGAUCAGUGAUAUUCAUUUCAUCCUAACGGAGCAAGAUGUAGGUCACCUUUACGAUAAGUACUAGAUUUCUCGGGAAAUCUUCUGCGUCUUUACCCCCUCCUCGAGUGUUUGUGUAGAUGACUAAAUCCCUAUAGAGGAUACCAUCAUAGUUUAUGAAGAGCAGCUGAAGGCAGGCCUUCGGUUCCCCAUGGACCCAUUUUUCACUAAUGUCCUGCAGUUUCACAAACUUUCAGUCAUUCAGAUGCAUCCCAAAAGCUGGAGAAUACUGUGGCCUUCCAUUUUGUUUAUUCUAAUAACAACAUCAAGCCGAGUGUGGCCCUCUUCUCCCAGCUGUACCAGCUGCGUACUCGGAGAAAUGAAGAGUUCUAGUUUUUUAGCUGGCAAAAAUGUAAGAUGAUAUUCGACCGGAUAUCUUCUUCAUUAAAGCAGUGGAAGAACAAGUUUUUUAUCCUCCGCUAUUGGACGUCUAGGGAGUUUUGGAUGCCUCCACAUGAGUUGAAACCUGUGGGUGGAGUUAAGGAAGGAUGGAGUCCCAUUGAGGAGGGAUGAGGAUGAGACUUAAGCCUUUCUCUUGACAAUGGCUAGGUCCUCUCAGAAAAUGGAAAUUACCAAGGUGGAGAGGAACACCAUUUUAUCUUUGCAGAGUUAUCUCCAGACGAACCAGACUUGGGGUCCUCACCCGCCCAGCCUUCCCAAUCUUGGGGAGAGAACUUCCUUGGCUAGAGAUCAGGGUAUUUUUUCUUCUGCCUUCUUUUAGAUUUCAAACUGCCUUACUUACUUUUAAUUUACACAGAUAUACUCGAUCAAGAAGUAAAUUUAUUGAAGCGGUACAUGCUGCCUACAAAGGCAAAGUUGUCACUAGGGCAAUCGGUCCCAUUCCCAAGCGUGCUUGUAAUACCCGGCUAGACUCCGGUAUCGGAAUUCCUACCAUCCGGUGGAAUCUCGGAUGUCGGAGGCCUCUAGUAGGGUAGAAUCAUGUUUUCAUAAAAUGUUUUAAGGUAUUUCAUGGUUUUAAGUAAAAUGGAAAUGAGUUUUUGCAUGAAAACAACCUUGAAGGAAAACUCAGGUUCGGCCGCCGAACCUCAAGUUCGGCCGCCGAACAUGCAUGCCUUCGGGAGCGCCUUUAGGCCCCCGAAAGCAUAAGUGAGGAAAGUCCAGGUUCGGCCGCCGAACCUCAUGUUCGGUCGCCAAACAUGGCAUGCAUGCAGAGGCACGUUCGGCCCCCGAACGUGGCCUGGCCAGCCACUAUAAAAGGGUCCCUUAGCCGAAAACGGGCGAGCUUUUUUCCCAUUUCCGGCCAAGGUGAGUUCUCCGCCACCCCUCACUGAUCUUGAGUCUUUUCCUUCAGAUCUUUCAAGUUUUUCACUAGUUUUCAUCUUGUUUUGAAGAUUUCCAAGUUUUGAGCAAGUUUUGGAGCUUUGAGGUUCAAGAACUCAAAUCUCUUCCAACUUCAAGUUAGAUCGCCUCCACCCUCGAUCUUCAAGAGGUAAGAGUCGAUCUCUAGCUUACAUNNNNNNNNNNNNNNNNNNNNNNNNNNNNNNNNNNNNNNNNNNNNNNNNNNNNNNNNNNNNNNNNNNNNNNNNNNNNNNNNNNNNNNNNNNNNNNNNNNNNNNNNNNNNNNNNNNNNNNNNNNNNNNNNNNNNNNNNNNNNNNNNNNNNNNNNNNNNNNNNNNNNNNNNNNNNNNNNNNNNNNNNNNNNNNNNNNNNNNNNNNNNNNNNNNNNNNNNNNNNNNNNNNNNNNNNNNNNNNNNNNNNNNNNNNNNNNNNNNNNNNNNNNNNNNNNNNNNNNNNNNNNNNNNNNNNNNNNNNNNNNNNNNNNNNNNNNNNNNNNNNNNNNNNNNNNNNNNNNNNNNNNNNNNNNNNNNNNNNNNNNNNNNNNNNNNNNNNNNNNNGAAAGGAGACUUUCGUCUCUGUCUGGGACUUUCGGCCGCCGAAGGUGCCGCCGAACAUGCAUGAGUUUCGCCUCUGUCUGGGAGUUUCGGCCGCCGAAGGUGCCGCUGAACCUGCCUGACUUUCGGCUCUGGAGGGACUUUCGGCCGCCGAACCUGCCGCCGAAAGUGCCCUGUUUAGCCAUUUCUUGCAUGUUUUUCUAUGAUUAUUCCAUGAUGUUUUAGGGGGUUUUUGGGGGAUAGUUUAGAGUUAUGUUCUUGUUUGGUUGGUCCCUCAUUUGAGUCCACCUGUGUAGGUUCGGACCCGAGGAACCGAGGACCCCAGCAGUGAGUCUGUUGCCCCAGUGUCUGGUCAGAGCUAUCCAGAGGUGAGUGGAAUAACUUAUUAUGUUUUAAAGCAAAGAAUGAACUUUUUAGCAUGUUUCACGCAUCAUGAAUGCCAUGUGAUGAAUUAGGUUACUUGCAUUAGAACUCACGAAUAUGUUGCAUUGCAUAUUUUUAUGUUGAUGUGGAGGAAUGUUGGAUGAUCCAUAGCCCUCGAUCUAUGAUAUGACGAUAUGAUAUGUACGGUACAGAAAGUAAGACCAGUGGGACCCAUUCUACGUUCGCUGGCACUAUGUAAGGGAAAGACCAGGACCCAUUCUACGUUCUGGCACAGUUGGACACUGUUAUGUUAUGAUAUGUAAGGGAAAGACCAGGACCCAUUCUACGUUCUGGCACAGUUGGACCAUGUAGAGGGCUAUUGGUGACAAGUUCAUCCUUGAUGUGAUUAGCUGUGAUGUGAUGCAUUUCAUGUUAUCCUAUGUUUUAAGUGUUUUAUUAUUCUGCUCACUGGGCUCUAGUAGCUCACCCCUCUCCCAAAUUUCCCCAGGAUUGCAGGUACAGGGUAGACCAGGAGGUUUACAAGAGUAAUGAAGUCUGGUAUAUGUAAUAGAUAGUGUGGACAUGAUAAAUGUAUUAAUGUUAUGUAAAAGUACAGUUUCAGUCAUGUAUUGAUAUUGAGGAUUGAUAUUGUGCUUGACAUUAUGUUUGAGGUAUCCCUUUUAUUACAUGAUCAAAAAUGUUUUAUAAUGUUCAUGAAAGCCAACUCAUCUUAUGAUGUAUCGCCCAUUGGGGCAUUGAUGAGAUCCCACAGAGGGGUCAUGAUUAUGAUUAUGACUAUGUACAGUGUAUGUUCAGGUUGAGUUGGAUGUUUGAAGGAAAAGUUUUAAAUUUUUAUGUAUGUUGUUGAUCAUGUAUGGGAUUAAACAGGUUUUCAGGAUGAAUGUCAGGCUUGCUACGGGUCUUGGCGGCCUUAAGCCGACCCAGAUCCUAGCGCCGGUAACGGUCCGAUUUUCGGGUCGUUACAGUGCUCGCGGGCAGAAGAAUUAAUCAUGUUUCCUCCUCUUCCUCCCCAACCUACAAUAGAAGAGUAGACUCACUCGAAGCUUGAGUCUUUUACAAUGGGUGACUCUUCAUCUGUCCUAGUUUUUGAGCCUUCUAUUGCAAUCCUCACUUCUACUGAGCUUAUUCUUGCGGAUGUAGGGCUUGAUUCAUUAUGGCCUCUUAGAAUUCAACGGCUGGCACUGGUGCUAACCUGAAUGCCCUCUCUCCUUGAAGAUCCUAGCUUGGCCACUCUAUUAACCAAGAAUUCUCUGAGGCCCGGAGACCGUCAUCGUGAACGAGGUCGAGAUUGAUGAGCUUUUUGACAACGUGAUGCACUCUGCCCUGAAGAGUGCCCUCUGUGCCUAUAUGGCCAAAGUGCAUCAUAAGGUCUUGACGUGGGAGUUCGGUGCUCAAGAAACAGAUAAAAGACUCCUGGCAGAGAAAUACUCGAGGCUGAAGGCUCAGGUUGACGAAGUGGAAGGCACAAUGAAAGAGACUCUUGAGUCAGUAAACAAACUCCAGGCAGACCAAGGUGAGGCCAACGCUUCCAAACUUGCCCUUAAAAAUCGGGUUAAGACUGUUGAGGAUCAAAUGGCCAUGCUUCAAAGCUAAGUCUAGGAGCUACAAUCACAGGUUGAGGAGAACUAGGCCACCUCCCACAAAAUUGUUGAAUUAGAGGUUGAGCUUUAAGAGACGGUGGCUCGAAGAGGAGAGAUGUUCAUCGAAGGCCAAGACUCAAUCAAGAAGGAACUAGUGAAGCGAUUUUCUUCGAAGGACUUUACUUGGAUAGAUGACAUCCUUCCAGAGGAGGAGGAGGAGGGCAAAGGCGAGGAAAGAAUAACUGAGGACAACCCUCCUAGCCCAGCUUCUACUGUAAUAGCCAAUGAUGAACCUAUAUUAGAAGAUCGGGAGGAGGCAACUAAUUUUGUCCCUCCUGCCCUGUAAUACUCCUUUUAUUUGAAUGAAAGAUUUUUCUAUUUUAUUUUGACAGUUUUGUAUGAUUAGUAUUUAGUCAUAAAUGUAACACCCCUUACCCUAUCAAAGUGUAGACAGAGCGAGAGUUGUCACAAACUAUACCUUUUUAGGCAUAUCAAGAUUAAACAAUUUCCUUUAUUUGUAAAUACCAAAUUUUUAGGUAGUCCAAGUAAAUUUUAUAAGGUGAUUAAAAUAAAUGUAAGAUUUUAAACCAAAAUUUUGGCAGUCUUCUCUGUUUCAUUAACAUUUCAACCUGUAGCACAUAUAUAAAAAAAAACACACGUAAAAUUAUCAACUGUUAUUUGACAUCUUACUAUUCUUUGAUUUACAUAACCUUCAUAACUCACUCUAUUUAAUAUAUACAUGCCAAAAUAUAAUUGUACUAUGACUCAUAGACUAAAAACAACCAGCUAUGAUAAUGGCCUUGAUAUCUGAUGUAGACCUCUAAUGAACUCCGCGUGCCUACUUUAUCUACAACCUGCGUGAGGUAAAAACUAACACGCUGAGCUAAUGCUUAGUGGAUGAUAACAAACAAAUAACAAAAUAGAGCAAACAAGUUCACAUAUAUAGAUAAUCAAGUAAACAAUUACAAGCUAGUCAAAUGUUGUUAACAUGAUACAAAGCAUACUUGUCAACUUCUUAGUAUAAAAUAUGAGUGCCAUAAGUAUCCUUGUGCACGAUAAGAAUUUCCUUCAUAUUCAAUAAAAACAUCUUCUUUUGCCUUUAUUGCAUAUUUUCUAUUUAUAGCAAAUCACCAUAGCUUAGUGCAUGAAAUAGAUGCAGACAUAUUAACAUUCACUAAUAAAUUCUCAAAAUUGAGUAUCGAUCUUAAUUAAGUUCUCAGCCCUUAUAAACACAUAGUAGGGUCGACUAGGUAGAUAAGGAGUUAUAACGGUAGGCACAGGUGCCGAACAGUAGGCUCAGAGGCUGAAACUGUGAUAGCAGGGCUCUGUGAUCGUGCUUAUGAGGUACCUGAUAUGUAACUUCAAAUAUAUAGAUCAUGUAUCGGUAAUAAUACUGCAAACUCUGUAUGUUUAUAUGGCAUGCCAUACCCUUAAACUAAUCUCGACUCCUAUUAAGUUUACCAGGGCCAAGUAUUAUUAAUUCAAUGUAACUAUGUAAAUGCAUGUCGUUUUAAGCUAUUUGAAUUCAUUUCUAAGUACAUAUAUCAUAUAUCAAAAUUAACAAGAUGAGAAACUCAUGACAAAUAGUGCAAAACUUUGUCAACAUAGCAUUUCAAUAUUGUGUCAAUUCCUGAAAGUUUUAGCUCUUUGUCUCAGCUUUCAUUUCGUAUAUCUUAGGCCUAAUUUUAAUAAAUACACAAUAAGUUAUGAAGUUGUUAACACAAGCUGCCCUGUUACAACCUAUUCUGCCAGGUUUGCACUUUAGCUCUCAUGUUAAAUUUCUUUACUCUAAACAUUUCAAACAUCAUUUUAAUAUUCAUAUAACAUAUUUAUAAAAUCAAAGCAACAUUUCCAGCAAGUAAAAUCAACCCCUAAUUCACUUAUUCAUGACAGAAUCAAAGAAAAACAAAAAAUCAUACAAACACCAAACCUUUCUUGAAUUCCUCUUUCUUUUCCUCUUUUACUCUGUAGCUAUCUCCUUUCUCUUUGAUGUUCCUUCACCUAGGUCAAUUUAUAUCUUAGGGAAGGAUUGAAUAAAUUAUAAAUUAAAGCUUUAUAAUUCAAAUUCAUGCAUGAAGAAAUGAGAAGAUGCUAUUUCCUACACAUUUCUAAGCUCACCUUUGAUUUUCAAGCUUGAUGUAUAUGGAAUCCUAAACUUUUCUUCUUCAAUUCUUUCAAUAUAUGGCUCUUCCUUUAGCUCAUGAUCUUAGGAUGAAUUUUGGUUAAAGGAAGAAGUUGAUUUGGUGAGAUUUUUGCUUGGCUUUUGUGGGAGAAAGAAAAGCAAUUCUUUUUCCUUGAAAAUGGAAUGACCUACGGCAACAUGAAGGAAAGAAGAAGACAACCCCUUUUCACUUUGCUUUGUCAUUUCAUUCAUGUAUAGUUAGGUGACACAUGGAGGGUAAACUGAAUUUUGUCUUUAAAAUUUCCAUAUUCACACUUUAACCUACUAAACUCUUUACCAUGUUUCAAUUUAGUUUUCAAACUUUUAAUAAUCAUAGAUUGACCUACUAAAUUAUGCUUUUAGCCUUUAGAAGUCCUUUUCACUUAAGCAAGUAUGACGGAUUUUAACAAGCACCUCAAGCAAGCACGUCGGGAAACUUUAAGCAGCUCUCGAAAGUGACUCGUUUCCGACUCGCUUAUCACAUUGUCUACUUUAUUUCUGGAUACGUCCGUUUCUUUAUUUGAGUUUUCUAUGAUUCAGUUAUUAGCAGUUUAGAGUUAUGCUAGCACCUCCCCUAAGUAGCUCGGGGUAAGCUAACACCUCCCCUAAUGCCACUUGCUUUAGUAGUGAAAUAGCCUAACCCAUACGUAGUGAUGUCACUACUCUAGCUAUGGGUUUGAGGAUGUAACAAUAAAUCUUGUAUUUCUUUUAAAAGAAUGCUAAGAGAUUAACACCCAACCUGUAAUAUCCGACUAGACUCCAGCGUCAGAAUUUCAACCUUCCGACAGAAUCUCCGUUAGGAUCCGGAAUCUCGGAUGCUGGAACCUCUUAGAAGGGUAAAAUAUGUUUUUACAAAAUGAUUUUCAUGGUUUUAUUGUUUGGUUUUGAGUUAAAGUUUAAAAGAAAAGAAAAUGUUUUUUUGGAGGAAAUCCAGGUUCGGCCGUCGAACAUAGUGCUGCCACAGGAGCUCUCCUUUCGGCCCCCGAAGGUGGUCUGGCUAGCCACCUAUUAGAGGUCUCCAGUCUAAAAAUGGGAGAGUUUUCUCUCUCCAUUUUCGGGCAAAGGUGAGUUCUUGCCCUCCCUUUGAUGAUUUUAUAUUUUUCCUUCAAAUCCUUCAAAUUUUCACGAGUUUUCUCUUGUUUUUGAAGUUUUAAGCUUGGAUCCAAGAUUUUAAAGUUUGGAGACCAUUUCUCCUCAACUCCAAGCUUGGGUCGCAUCUACCUUAGAUCUUCAAGAGGUAAAUGUAGAUCCUUGCCUUUUCAUAUGUUUUAAGUAAGUUUUAAAAAGGGGUUAAGCGUUAAAAAAUGCAUGAAUGGCUAGAUCUAAGGUUAUAGGCUUUGAGUUGGGUUUUGAUGAGUGUAUGCUCUCUCUUGUGUUUUGUUGUUGUUGUUGGGGCUUAGGUUAGUUUUAUGCCCCUUAUGCUUAAUGGAGUUAGUUUUUGCAUGUUUUGAGAAGUUGGGUAUGAAUUUGGUGAGUUUGGUGGCUGGUGUAGCUGAUGUAAUAGAAUAGUUGUGGACAUGUAAUGUUUAAUGGAUUAGUAUUGUGCUUGGCCCUAGUUUUCUUUACCUUGUAAUCUCUGUUAACAUGAUCUUUAUGUAAAAGUUUUAAAUAUGUUUUAUGUUUGAACCAAGCUUGAUACAUGUGAUGUUAACCAUAUUAGAGCAUUUGAUAAGGGCUCUAGUAUGGGUUUUAUAUUUUCAGUAUGAUACAUGCAUAGGUUGAGCUCAGUUUCAUGGAAAUAUUUAAGUUUUUGUUAUAAUGUGUGAUCAUGUAUGGGAUUUUAUCAGGUACACAGGAUGUAUAGUAGGCUUGCUAUGGGUUCCAGCGACCUUAAGUCGAUCUAAAUCCUAGCGCCGGUAGCGGUCCGAUUUUCGGAUCGUUACACAACCAUCAUGAUGGUGAUAAAAUAAAUAACUUGAAAAAUUUUGAAUAGCAGGAUUAACACCCGAACAUAUGGCCUGACGGAUACCUACCUUGGACCUAAGAUACUUUAUAGGAUUUCUUAUAAUCUUGAGGCUAGUACUCGAUCACAAACACUCGUCUUGUAGUUUGAGCCUCAAAUAUCUUAAAAAUUUUUACAUGGAAUUAACACUCGGUAGUUGUGCCCACCUCAUGGCCUAGCGUGAAUGUAUUUUUUAGUGGGAUCAAUGUUCGGUCUUCUGGUAUAGUGGAACCCGCCUUGUAGCCUGGUAUUGUAAUACCCGGNNNNNNNNNNNNNNNNNNNNNNNNNNNNNNNNNNNNNNNNNNNNNNNNNNNNNNNNNNNNNNNNNNNNNNNNNNNNNNNNNNNNNNNNNNNNNNNNNNNNNNNNNNNNNNNNNNNNNNNNNNNNNNNNNNNNNNNNNNNNNNNNNNNNNNNNNNNNNNNNNNNNNNNNNNNNNNNNNNNNNNNNNNNNNNNNNNNNNNNNNNNNNNNNNNNNNNNNNNNNNNNNNNNNNNNNNNNNNNNNNNNNNNNNNNNNNNNNNNNNNNNNNNNNNNNNNNNNNNNNNNNNNNNNNNNNNNNNNNNNNNNNNNNNNNNNNNNNNNNNNNNNNNNNNNNNNNNNNNNNNNNNNNNNNNNNNNNNNNNNNNNNNNNNNNNNNNNNNNNNNNNNNNNNNNNNNNNNNNNNUUAGUGGGACCAAUGCCUGGUUUUCCAGCUUAGUGAAACCAGCCUUGUAGCCUUUUAGUGGGACCAACACUAGGUCUUCUGACUUGGCGAAACUUGCUUUAUGGCCUGGCAUGAAUACCUUUGUUUUCACAAUCCCACGCCUAGAUUAUGGCCUAGCUAAAACUGCCUUCUGGCUUUUUAGUGGGACCAACACCCAGUCUUCUGGCCUGGUAGAACCCGCCUUGUGGCCUAGCAUGAAUGUCUUUAUUUCCACGGUCCAACACUCGGAUUAUGACAUGGCUAAAACUGCCUUGUAGCUUUUUAGUGGUACCAAUGCCCGAUCUUUUAGCUUGGCAGAAUCCAGCUUGUGGCCUGGCAUGAAUGCCUUUAUUUCUACAGUCCAAUGCCCAAAUUAUGACCUGGCUGAAACUGCCUUGUGGCCUUUUAGUGGGACCAACACCCAGUCUUCUGGCCUGGCGGAACUCACCUUGUGGCCUUUUAAUGGGACCAACGCUCGGUUUGUGGCCUGGCGAAACCCGUCUUGUGACCUGACCUGGCAGAACCUGCCUUGUAGCCUUGAUUAGUGGGACUGAUGUCCGAUUAUGGUCUAGCGGAACCCGCCUUGUGACCUGAUCUGGAGGAAUCUGCAUUGUGGCCUUGAUUAGUGGGACUAACACUCGGAUUGUAGCCUGGCAGAACCUGCCUUCUAGCCUGUCAUGAAUGCUCCUUAUCUUUUUUGAAGAAGGCAAUCCCAUCGUUUUUUAUUACUGAAAAACACAAAAUAUAAAACAAUACCUCAUUAACUAUUAUUAAUAAAAUUUUCUCAAGUUAAAAAUGACUCGGUCAUCUAAUUUGGUCAGCCUAUAAAACCCUGGGUGAAUAAUCUUCGAUACCCUAAAUAGUCAUUUCCAGUUUUCACCGAGCUUACCAGAUCGGCUGUUACAUCUCCUGGGGUUUGCUUACUUUCCCUGAUCAUCACUAAGUCCUUCUGCAAUUAUGUGAAUAAUCCCCAUAGGCUCCCUAUCAGGGGUGGUUUCAGGGGUUAUUGCCUCGGGUUCAGGUCUCCUCUCUUCCUUACCCUUUUUGGCGAACUUUCGAAGAGUGUCGUCCCUUAUCAGCCUCUCAAUCUCAUCUUUCAAUUGACAACACUCUUCUAUUGUAUGACUAUGGUCUUCAUGAAAACGAUAGUACUUAGUCCUGUCUUGCUUUCUACUUUCUCGGGAUUGAGCUUGGGCAGCCACCUGACCUCCUUGUCAUUUUUCCUGAUUCACAUUAGAAUACAUGUUCGUGAGUCAUUCAAUGGAGUAUAAUUCUUAUAUUUGCUUUGGUCAUCCCUCCUUCGGGAGACGGGGCAAUUCUUGUGGUCUCCUUCAUAUCCUUGCCUCUUCGGCUUUUGGCUUUGCUUUUGAUUUGUCCUCUUAUUCUCUCUCAGUGCUUGGACUUCGUCAUCUAGCCUGACAUACUUCUAGGCUUUUUCCAUCAACUAUUGAUAUGUAGCGGCUGGGUUCUUGAUCAAGGAAUCCAUAACUUGAUGUUGCGUAUUCCUUUCUUCAAUGCUUCACAUGCUAUCUCAUGAUUUAGGUCCUCCACCUGUAUUGCUUCGGUAUUAAACCGUGAGAUAAAACUCUUUAAAGACUCGCCCUCUACUUGGCGGAUCUUCCGUAAGUCAGAGGAGAGUUUUUUAGGAGGUAUACAAGUAAUAAAUCUGAAUUUAAAUAACAUAGCGAAUUUCAUAAAGUUCUGAAUUAAACUUGGACUCAAAUGUUGAUACCGUUUCUGAGCCAAACCUGUGAGUAUUGAUGGAAACACUCGGGACAAUACAAAAUCGUUGACAUCUUGAAACUGUAUGGUCGUCCUAAAGAUCACCAAGUGACUUUUGGGAUCUGUUAUUCCAUCAUAUUUGUCCAAACUAAGCAGCUUGAACUUGGAUGAGAAUGUUUCCACUAAGAUUUCUUCCGAAAAGGGCGAGACACCAUCCAAGCCAAAGUCCUCCUCUUACUCCUUUUAGUACCUUUGAACAGCCCAUACCAGCUUCCAGUCUAUACCUUUUGGAGCAUCUUCUGAAUCAUCUUCUUCUAAUUCAGCCUUUCUUUUGGAUCGCCUCUGUCCGAGUUCUCGAGGUGUCAACAGAGGCUUGUCCCUUUCCUCUGGGAGCCGUGACUGACGCCUCCCUCCGAGCCUUAUACUGCUCCAGAGUAGCCUACAACUUUUGGAUGUAUUGGAUCAUAUACUCAUUGUUCAGGCUGUUGAGAUCUGCUUCAUUGACCAUUAAGGGCGUGUUUUGUCCACUGCUAGGGAUGGAAGAAAUGAUCGCCUUUAUUGGUAGCAACCUUAGCAGCAGCUCAUGAACUACCAGCCAUUUCAAGAAAGAGAGGAAAGAGAUUACUUUUUAAGAGAAAAUAGAUAAGAGACUGGUUUUAAUCUAGAUGAACAGAGAGGAUUCAAUGGAUUUUUUGGCAACGGAACCAAAUGAUCUAACCAGAAAAUAAAAUUGUGCUGCGGUUGGUCAAACCUACAAGAAAGAGAAAGUGAGGUGGUUGGCACCUACGGCAGCCACUCCAACGCUCAAGUUAGUAAACUGGAGAAUAGGGAGAGAAACUAGCCCAAAUAACUUGGAUUAACCAUUUUGGGCCAAAUAGAAAAUGAGUUCAAAAAUUAUUUAGAUCAAUUUGGGCCAAGUUGUUAUUCUUGAGUGACAUUAAUUAAAUUAAAAAUUCAUCCAUUUAUGAUUUCAACAUAAAUAUUGACAAGAUGACUAAACAACUGUAACAUAAAAUCUUUUUUUUGAAAGCAAAACUACUGAUUGUAUUAAUAAAAUUUCAUCAAACAAAGAGGAUAUCAUCCCAAACAGAGAGACGAUUAUGCCUAAUAGAUUUUUUAGCCAAAGUAUGAGCAGUUAGAGUAGUAUUACGACGAACCCAUCUAACAGAAAUAUCAGUUCUAGAGUCUAACAAAGAUUUACAAUCAUUCAAAAUCAAACCCCUGCAUAAGAUAAUUUGGUAAAGAUGCUCCUCCUUUCUUAUCUCUCGAGCAUAAAUCAUUAAAGUCUCCCGAACAAAGCUACAGAAGAAAACUUCUACGAGAUAAAGUUUGAAUAAGGUUCCAAGACUGAUGUCAUCAUUGCGAUUUAGAAAACCCAUAAUAACUAGUAAACCUCCAUUGAACAUUACCUUCCGAAACAACCGAAUCAAUAAAAUUUGAAGAAAAGCCAAUCACAGAAACAGAAACAUGACUCUUCCACAUUAACGAAAGGCCUCCUCCCAAUCCUUGUCUAUUGACUGAGAAGCAACCAUUAAAAUGUAAAAAACUAUGAAAAAAAUAUGUAACAGAAAUAAUAAGUGACGAUCGGAAUAUCUCUGGAGCUCUUAAAAUCUUUUCCUUCAUCGAUAGUCAAUUGACGCAGAUCGUCUUCCAUGGAAAGGGGAAAGAAAAAGUUAGAUUUAAGGAAGAGGAAAAGGCGAGAGUAUCAAGCCACAAAGGGACCACAUAGGGAAACUUUGUAACAUAAAAUCUUGAAAUUAAGAAUUCUUUACAGUAACAUAAAAUCUUGAAACUCAUAAUAAGCGUCUUAAUAUUGAACACCCACAUAAUUAAAAAGCAUUCACUAUAUUGUACUAUCGUAAAAUGUCAUAAUAUGCUUUUAAAACUCAACUCUUAGCAUACAACUCAUCCCUCCAUGAAGAAACUUAUUUGAAGAUCCUUUAUAUACUCUAAAAGUUUCAAAAACUCCCAUUAGCCUAUCAAAUCAAUUACAUCAACCAAAAACCUUUUUUUUUUGUAAGAUAGAAAGAUUUCAUUGAAAGAGUCACAGAAAUGCUAGAAAUAGAACAUCAAAGGCCCAAGGUAAAAAAAA
This 18767-nucleotide long non-coding RNA is filed under the name Manihot esculenta (cassava). RNAcentral describes it as "long non-coding RNA (MESC_LNC005474)". Lineage: Eukaryota; Viridiplantae; Streptophyta; Magnoliopsida; Malpighiales; Euphorbiaceae. The record is from RNAcentral.